Molecule: non-coding RNA, 2567 nt
Organism: Lolium perenne
Lineage: Eukaryota; Viridiplantae; Streptophyta; Magnoliopsida; Poales; Poaceae
Source: RefSeq, a predicted model, not a curated record
GAAAACCCUAGCGCCCUGCCUCACAAUCCCGAACGUCCAUCCUCGUCAUCUUCGUCCUCAGCUUCCAGUCUGCAAGUGGAAGAUGAGGUAGAGACCAAGAAGUAGAACCCGACUGCACGAUAAAGAAGAGGCAAAAAGUGACUCUGAAGCAAAUCAAUUUCAGCCAGAAGGAACUCAAAAAUUGUGUUGACAGGGAUAUUACCAUAAUGCAAAAAUAUGCUGCAAGUCAAUUCAGGUUUUCCAGGUCAUUUAUAAUCUACUAACCAGAUUCCAGUAGUAUUAAAUAUGGCAGAAGACAUCAGAGGAGAAGACCUUUAUCUGAAGAAAAAGAUGAAGACCGAUGGGCAUGACCAACAUUUUCCUAUGAAGAAAACAAAUAAGGUUGCGGUGCAAGGUGCAGAGGUCCCCUGCAGCGUGUGGAGGUGGUUGGCCUUGGCCAGGUCAAGUUGUCGAUGCCGGUGACCUCUCUAUAUCCACUAUGUAGAGUUGGUGUUCCUCAUUCCAUUAUCUGAAAAUUCAUUUAGAAUAAGGCCACUUGCGCAUCCAGUUUUAUGAAGGAUUGUCAAGCUAAAAAUAAAAGAUGGAGGCCAUGGAUAUCUCUACUAAAAGUAUUGCAUGGCGUCAUGACAUCCUCCUCUUCACGUAUGGCGCCUGCAGAUGGCGUAACCUUCAGGUGAGAUCCUCCUCCACUUGAAGUGUUCGCUAUUUUUUCAUGAAAACAUUCACAUUUCGAGUAUUUUUUUCAUCACUUUUAUUAUAAAUCACGGAUAUGGAGAUACAUAUUAGGGAGUAAGUUUGUUAAUAUACUUCUGAAGGUUGCAGCAUGCACAAAAGAAUUCGGUGGUAAGCUUCCAUAGUUUUUUUUUAUAGAAGAACAAUAUUUAGUUAUAUCAUCCUACUGGCAUAAUGAUAUGUUGUGUGUGUUGAUGGAAUUGACCAUCAAGCUGGAGAGGCUCUUUAACCAGCAAUACAUAUAUCGCCUGACACCAUGGGGUAUGUCUAUUUUUAUUCCUGAUUUAUUUGUGGUUGCAGCAAGGUAGAUUAUGUCUUUCUGGUCUACCUAUUAAUCGUGUGAGAGUUAAGAGAGUGAUUAAUGACAUAUGAUGUGCACUUUUGUAGCUGUGAGGGAACAUUGAAGUGAAGUUACAUCAUUAAACUUCGGAAUGCUUUUAAAUAUCUGCUAAUUAUCACCCUUUAUUGGUUGCUUUUCUUGAUGAAUAGCUUCAACGAUGACAAUUUGAGUUAUACAAAAUGACGAGUCAGUGCUUAAUUUUGAAAACCAUAAUUUCUUACUUACCUUCUUGAUCAUUACAGGGCACCUGCAAGCAAGCUCCACCAGAAUCUCCGUUUCCACUACAGGUCGAUCACCUUCUCCAAAGUAUUGAAAUGUUAUGGUGAUUUGUAGGCGAAGUUUAAAAUAGCUCUGCGGCAUUCUGCUCUAUUUGAGUAUUGCAAAGCACUCCAAGAGGUCUUUGUUUUCUUUGGUGGAGUUAUUCUUUGCUAAAUUUAGCAAAUAUGUAUCAUUUAAGAUAAAUUUAGGAUGAUUGGAAUGCAAACGUGGUUCUUCUGGCUAUAGUUCCUACUUGUGCUGGUUUGCAAAGAGGAAUUUAGAUGAGUGUAUUUCUUGGCAAUCGGCUGCAGGUGUAUAUGCACCUUAGUUUGAGAGAUUUUUAGAUACCAAGAAGAAACUGAAGGUCGGGAGAAAUGAAGUCCUCAACCAAAUAAGAUCACCGCCUCCACCCUGUGCGGCGUUGUCGUCCCCAUCAAGCCGCACCAGAGGGAGAUGCUUAGCUGCGGCCACACAAACGGACGGGGACGUCAAGCCAAGCUGGUGGCUGGCGGCCUACCAUCGCGUCAACUUACACAGGAUAGGAGAGCCCUCGAAAAAAAACACAGGAUAGGAGCAGAGGAAUCUUGAGCGUGGUGUCCAGACCUGGAGUGGAGGACAUGGGUCGCCAUGAAGGUUGCAGGCCACAAUACUGAUUGGUUGUGCUUUUCCCCCCACAUCCUUCCUUGAACAUCUCUUUCUGACUCCAACCUCGAUCUGCAGCAAUUGCUCCUUCAUUGUGAAGUUGCAGGUGUAUACAGAAGCUUUUUGUGUAAAUGCCUACGAGCAAAGACCGCUCCUGGAAGAAUGCUCACAAGUCAGCUUGAAUUUGUAAGUUAAUUGUCCUCUCAGAUGCACCCCUCUUGAUGCUUUAUAUGUUUCAACAUGGAUUCUUGGUUCCUAUAAAUUUAUAGGUUGUGAUGUUGUGAUGAACUUGCAGAAAUGAAGUGAUUUGGGUAACAUCUUGCUUUUUAAAAUGGCUUUCAUUUACUUCUGUGGCAUUGAAGGAGGGAGGCAAUUCCUCCCAACUACAGAAUUUGCAGCGGCUGAAGAUGCUAGAAGUACAGAGAUAAAAUGCUUCAUGUGAUGAGUGGUGUAAUUAAAUUGGAGAGAAACAUGAAGAAGUUUGAUGGCACCCAUUCUUAGGUUGAAAAUUGACUGUCCGAUCCAGUUCUUGCUCUUUCUUGCUUUAUCACUUUAUUAUGUAGUUCCUGAUUUUGGAAGAUGUAUUAUCUGGUCA